GCUUACGGCCAUACCACCCUGAGCACGCCCGAACUCGUCUGAUCUCGGAAGCUAAGCAGUGUCAGGCCUGGUUAGUACUUGAAUGGGAGACCGCCUGGGAAUACCAGGUGCUGUAAGCU
Molecule: ribosomal RNA, 119 nt
Organism: Betta splendens (Siamese fighting fish)
Lineage: Eukaryota; Metazoa; Chordata; Actinopteri; Anabantiformes; Osphronemidae
Source: Ensembl